GUGACAUUCGCCGUUCUCUUCCUUACUUGGCUCGAGUCGGGUUCCUCCAGUGAGACCCGUCCCUUCCUCCGCUGCACCAAGGUCAGCAUAUUAUCUUCAUCCCGCUGAAAAACUGAGGGCCAGAGAGUUAAAAACUGACUCUAUCUUGCAAUUAGUAAACAAUGGAGUCAGGAUAGGAACCUGAGACCACCUGACUGCCGAACCCUGGGGCCCGCCCACAACCCAGUGGGAGCUUCUGGGGGCCUCAUGAAGCAGCCCCAUCGAUCUCUGCUCUCAGGGCCCAAGGAGUCUCUCAGGGCUCUCCUCCCUUCUGCACCACCCCUGCUUCUUGGGCAGGCCCGCCUCUCCCACCACAGGGAAGCUCUCUGAAGCCACGGAUUAUGUCUCGUCUUUGGUGAAGAAGUAGAAUCACAGAAUUAGGGCCAAUCCUAGUUAAUAAACGCCACCUUAGAGUGUCCUAUAAAA
Molecule: long non-coding RNA, 465 nt
Organism: Manis pentadactyla (Chinese pangolin)
Lineage: Eukaryota; Metazoa; Chordata; Mammalia; Pholidota; Manidae
Exons: 2
Source: RefSeq, a predicted model, not a curated record